RNAcentral lists this ribosomal RNA (588 nucleotides) under uncultured Actinomycetes bacterium. RNAcentral's name for it is "bacterial SSU rRNA". It matches the Rfam family "Bacterial small subunit ribosomal RNA", at positions 75 to 661 of the family's 1533-position model. The record is from RNAcentral. Lineage: Bacteria; Bacillati; Actinomycetota; Actinomycetes.
CCAGCUUGCUGGGUUGGAUGAGUGGCGAACGGGUGAGUAACACGUGAGUAACCUGCCCCCUUCUUUGGGAUAACGGUCGGAAACGGCUGCUAAUACCGGGUAUUCACUGUCCUUCGCAUGGGGGGUGGUGGAAAGGUUUUUUCUGGUGGGGGAUGGGCUCGCGGCCUAUCAGCUUGUUGGUGGGGUGAUGGCUUACCAAGGCUUUGACGGGUAACCGGCCUGAGAGGGUGACCGGUCACAUUGGGACUGAGAUACGGCCCAGACUCCUACGGGAGGCAGCAGUGGGGAAUAUUGCACAAUGGGCGAAAGCCUGAUGCAGCGACGCCGCGUGAGGGAUGACGGCCUUCGGGUUGUAAACCUCUUUCGCUCAUGGUCAAGCCGCAACAGUGGUUGUGGUGAGGGUAGUGGGUAAAGAAGCACCGGCUAACUACGUGCCAGCAGCCGCGGUAAUACGUAGGGUGCGAGCGUUGUCCGGAAUUAUUGGGCGUAAAGGGCUUGUAGGCGGUUUGUCGCGUCUGCCGUGAAAUCCUCUGGCUUAACUGGGGGCGUGCGGUGGGUACGGGCAGGCUUGAGUGCGGUAGGGGAGAC